Long non-coding RNA from Oncorhynchus mykiss (rainbow trout), 458 nucleotides. RefSeq lists it as uncharacterized. Lineage: Eukaryota; Metazoa; Chordata; Actinopteri; Salmoniformes; Salmonidae. The record is from RefSeq and is a predicted model, not a curated record.
GGCGUUAAUAAGUAAGAUGAUACACAAAGUGCAGUUUAACGCCGAACCCAUGCACAUGAAAGGGUUACGGAUAGGACUGAAGGAGGAAGAGGAUACAGAGGGGACCUGGACAUGGGUUAACGGGAUUGAGCUGACUCAGAGGUACUGGCAUGAGACAGCCCAAUGACCACUAUGGAAUGGAGGACUGUGCGGCCAUCCAUUCCAAAAUAAAUCCCAUGGAGUCCUGGAAUGAUGCUGUAUACGCAUCCAUUGAAAUGGAUAUGUGAAAUAAAAUCAAGGAAAGCUUAGAAAUUACUAUAAAAUUGCCAUUAUUUCAAUAAGUAAAUGCAUACAUUCAAAAUAAUAAGCAUUGGAAUCAAAUGUAACUUUUAAGUUGUACAUAACAUUUUAUCUGAUAAAAGAAAUUGUCAUACUGUAAAGUUAAACAUAAUUAGUUCUGCAUCUUUAAAAAAAAAAAA